Molecule: ribosomal RNA, 721 nt
Filed under: uncultured bacterium
Lineage: Bacteria
Description: bacterial SSU rRNA
Rfam family: Bacterial small subunit ribosomal RNA
Source: RNAcentral
AGAGUUUGAUCCUGGCUCAGGACGAACGCUGGCGGCGUGCUUAACACAUGCAAGUCGAGCGAUGAAGUUUCUUCGGAAAUGGAUUAGCGGCGAACGGGUGAGGAACACGUGAAGAAUCUGCCCUCCACUUUGGGAUAACACCGGGAAACCGGUGCUAAUACUGAAUAUUGAAACAUAAGUGGCAUCACUGAGUUUUGAAAGAAUUUCGGUGGAGGAUGACUUCGCGGCCUAUCAGCUAGUUGGUGAGGUAAUGGCUCACCAAGGCAACGACGGGUAGCCGGCCUGAGAGGGCGACCGGCCACACUGGGACUGAGACACGGCCCAGACUCCUACGGGAGGCAGCAGUGGGGAAUAUUGGGCAAUGGAGGAAACUCUGACCCAGCGACGCCGCGUGCGGGAUGAAGGCCUUCGGGUUGUAAACCGCUUUCAGUAGGGAAGAAGCGAAAGUGACGGUACCUACAAAAGAAGCACCGGCUAACUAUGUGCCAGCAGCCGCGGUAAUACAUAGGGUGCAAGCGUUGUCCGGAAUUAUUGGGCGUAAAGAGCUCGUAGGUGGUUCGAUACGUCGGAUGUGAAAAUCAGGGGCUCAACCCCUGACCUGCAUCCGAUACGGUCGAGCUAGAGUUUGGUAGGGGAGACUGGAAUUCCUGGUGUAGCGGUGGAAUGCGCAGAUAUUAGGAGGAACACCGGUGGCGAAGGCGCCACUCUGGAUCGACACUGA